CAGCAGCCGCGGUAAUACGUAGGUGGCGAGCGUUGUCCGGAAUUAUUGGGCGUAAAGCGCGCGCAGGUGGUUUAAUAAGUCUGAUGUGAAAGCCCACGGCUCAACCGUGGAGGGUCAUUGGAAACUGUUAAACUUGAGUGCAGGAGAGAAAGGUGGAAUUCCUAGUGUAGCGGUGAAAUGCGUAGAGAUUAGGAGGAACACCAGUGGCGAAGGCGGCUUUUUGGCCUGUAACUGACACUGAGGCGCGAAAGCGUGGGGAGCAAACAGGAUUAGAUACCCCCGUAGUCCCUGUCUCUUAUAC
This 301-nucleotide ribosomal RNA is filed under the name uncultured bacterium. Its description in RNAcentral is "partial 16S ribosomal RNA". It matches the Rfam family "Bacterial small subunit ribosomal RNA", at positions 509 to 807 of the family's 1533-position model. The record is from RNAcentral.